Molecule: long non-coding RNA, 224 nt
Filed under: Chrysemys picta bellii (western painted turtle)
Lineage: Eukaryota; Metazoa; Chordata; Testudines; Emydidae
Description: lncRNA (ENSCPBG00000024616.1)
Source: RNAcentral
GGCUUUUGUUAAAAAUAGGUAAUAAAUAAAAUCUGACUUGGAACAAGAACUCAGUUCCUUUCCUUUCAACAUGAGACUGGGCACACAGGAGAAGGAAUAAGGAUUGGUAAUUGUUUGGGUACUGUGACGGGGCUCCACUCACCACGCUGGUGCCUCCUGCUGGCUAUCUUGGAGAAUUAGUUCCACAGAUUACUUGAAAAAUUUAGUCAGAUUGUCACUAUCCU